CCUACGGGUGGCAGCAGUGAGGAAUAUUGGUCAAUGGACGAGAGUCUGAACCAGCCAAGUAGCGUGAAGGAUGACUGCCCUAUGGGUUGUAAACUUCUUUUAUAUGGGAAUAAAACAGGGUAUGCAUACCCUCUUGUAUGUACCAUAUGAAUAAGGAUCGGCUAACUCCGUGCCAGCAGCCGCGGUAAUACGGUGGAUCCGAUCUUUAUCCGGAUUUAUUGGGUUUAAAGGGUUAACAGGCGGUCGGUUAAGUCAGCGGUCAAAGCCCGGGGCUAAACCCCGGCCCGCCGUUGAAACUGGCAGUCUCGAGUUGGAGAGAAGUAUGCGGAAUGCGCGGUGUAGCGGUGAAAUGCAGAGAUAUCGCGAAGAACUCCGAUUGCGAAGGCAGCAUGCCGGCUCCACACUGACGCUGAGGCACGAAAGCGUGGGUAUCGAACAGGAUUAGAUACCCCAGUAGUC
Molecule: ribosomal RNA, 459 nt
Filed under: uncultured bacterium
Lineage: Bacteria
Description: partial 16S ribosomal RNA
Rfam family: Bacterial small subunit ribosomal RNA
Source: RNAcentral